AGUUUGAUCCUGGCUCAGGAUGAACGCUGGCGGUAUGCCUAACACAUGCAAGUCGUACGAGAGUUUUUAACUCUAGUGGCGGACGGGUGAGUAACACGUGAGAAUUUGCCUUUAGGAGGGGGACAACAAUUGGAAACGAAUGCUAAUACCCCAUAUGCUUUCGAGUGAAAUGGAUUUUAUCCGCCUAGAGAGAAGCUCGCGGCUGAUUAGCUUGUUGGUAAGGUAAGAGCUUACCAAGGCGACGAUCAGUAUCUGGUUUGAGAGGACGAUCAGACACACUGGAACUGAGACACGGUCCAGACUCCUACGGGAGGCAGCAGUGGGGGAAUUUUCCGCAAUGGGCGAAAGCCUGACGGAGCAAUACCGCGUGAGGGAAGAAUGCCUAUGGGUUGUAAACCUCUUUUUUCAGGGAGGAAUAAAAUGACGUGUACCUGAAGAAUAAGCAUCGGCUAACUCCGUG
This 460-nucleotide ribosomal RNA is filed under the name uncultured bacterium. RNAcentral's name for it is "bacterial SSU rRNA". It matches the Rfam family "Bacterial small subunit ribosomal RNA", at positions 10 to 507 of the family's 1533-position model. The record is from RNAcentral.